AUUGUGUUGGAUUUACAUGUGCAUGAGACAGAUGGUGACAAAAUGUGCAAAUAAACACACACACAGCAGUAAUGACUGACCUGAGCUCAGCCUCAUCGGAUUGUUGACAUCGUUGCUGGACAGAAACCUUACGUCUUGUUCUGCAGGUCCCACAUGAACCUUUGAUGGAACAACUGUAUCCUCCACAGCUUUGAACGGGGUCAGAGCGGUACAUCACUGAGCGAGGAGACGAAGGGAGCCAUAACUCAUCUCCUCUCAGCUCUCAACAUCCCGCUUGUCCGUCAGACAGAGGCAAGAAAUAGAUCCACAGCUCAGAUGGUGUUGUGGCGCUGAUUUGUCUUCUGUUCAUCUGCAGUCUGUCAA
Long non-coding RNA from Acanthopagrus latus (yellowfin seabream), 363 nucleotides. RefSeq lists it as uncharacterized. Lineage: Eukaryota; Metazoa; Chordata; Actinopteri; Spariformes; Sparidae. The record is from RefSeq and is a predicted model, not a curated record. The transcript has 3 exons.